AAACCGUUCGGGGGUAAACGGACAGAGCCCGUGAAUCCGGGCGCGCGGAAUUCAGGACCGGUUGGCGCGACGUUUCGGCGUCGCGCGGCCGAUUCGAUAUUUCCGCCGCCGACCCGUAACCGCGGGUGUCGGACGUCGCGACCCGUUCGCGUCGAACCGCGGGGGCGCGUUCCAGUUUCGUUUGCGCGUUUCGUCUCUUCGCGGGGGCGAGCGCGUUGCGAAGGCGCGUUUCCCACUUUGUUCUGUCGCGGACGGUAGCUUUGCGCGCGGGUAUUCGGCGCGGCCCGUUCCGCUCGGCGUUCGCGUCGAGCGGGCGCCGCGUCGACGCCGAUCAGCGACGAAUCUUCGGGCCUCUUUCCGA
This 361-nucleotide ribosomal RNA is filed under the name Aclerda sp. PJG-2003. RNAcentral describes it as "partial 28S large subunit ribosomal RNA". The record is from RNAcentral. Lineage: Eukaryota; Metazoa; Arthropoda; Insecta; Hemiptera; Aclerdidae.